Molecule: long non-coding RNA, 2932 nt
Filed under: Salvia miltiorrhiza (redroot sage)
Lineage: Eukaryota; Viridiplantae; Streptophyta; Magnoliopsida; Lamiales; Lamiaceae
Description: long non-coding RNA (SMIL_LNC006572)
Source: RNAcentral
AUUGGGAAUUCUCUUAACCACCUCUUCACUGCACUUGAAAUUUGCUAUUCCCUCAAGCACCAGUAGAUUCUCCAUGAUAACGACAUCAUCACUCGAAGGUUCUGGAAGAUAAAAAAUUCCUUUCAUUUCAAUAUGCCUAAGUUGUGGCAUUCUCCAAAUCUCAGCAGGUGCAGUGAACACCUCCACACAAGAAACAAUCAACAUGUGCAGAUUCCAGAAGCGAGUAAACGAGGUAAAGAUCGAGGACAUGCUAUUAACUGUAACAGCAAGGUGGCGCAAGUUAACAUACUGAGACGCAAGGGACUUGAUCACGUGGCGUUCAUCUUCAGAAUAAGGAAACUUGUAUGCAUGUAAUGUUCUAAGCAACCCGGAAUUCUUAAUACGCGGGACAUUCCCAUAUUCACUGAUAAUGGACUGAGCACGUGGCAUAGACUUCAAGUCGUCAAGGACUUUCUUCUUUGGCGUGUUCAUGGGUAUAACAACGCGGCGUUGGCUACUUAUGCCUCGAGGACUAGAUUGCCCUAUCACAUGAUAGAACCCAUCUUUCUUGCUCUGGUUCAAGCAUAAAUCCCUCAACAAAUCAUGAAUUUUGACGAAUUUUAUGCUUCCUGUAGACCCCAUUUUAUCAACUAGAAUGAGAUUUCUAUCAACCAAGUCCUUUAAGAACUCUAUGGCAAUAGUUUCCAAACUUUUGUCAUUCAUGGGUUUUAAAAAUCCUUCAGAAACCCAUAGCUUCACGAGUGUUGAGACUCUAACCGAAUCAUCCUCCUCAAACACUCCCAUAUACAAAAACAUGGCUUUAAAUAAACUGGCAAAUGAUUAUAGCUCAUUUCAACAGUUUCAUGCAAUUCUUAUCAUUCUCCAAAUUCACUUUUGAAGCUAAGUUCUUCCUAAUUGAUUUCCAAACUCCUAGAGUGUGUUUCCUAUUUCUCAAAAUACCCCCCACUACUACAAUUGAUAAAGGAAGUCCUCUGCAAUUCUCUACUAUUUUCUUUCCAAUUUUCUCUAACUCAUGAGGCAACUUCCAACCCCAAACACUAAUUUUUGAGAACGAGUUCCCAACUUCUAACCUCAUCUAAAAAUUCCAUUUGAAGGCUAUAAUUGUUGUUCAAUUGGGAACUCAAGUGGGAAAGCCUAGUCGUCACUAAUAUACGACUACAAUUCUCAUUUUCGGGAAAGAAACGCUGUAUCCUAUCCCAUGCAUCGGUGCUCCACAUAUCAUCCAUCACAAUUAGAAACCUUCUUCCUAUCAAAUGCUGGUAGAGCUCUAAUUCUAGUUCAUCUUCACUCUUUUCACUCAGUUGUUCCUUGGUUUUUUUAGUGGCUUGAGAAACAAGUUCACAAAGAAUUUCCCUUGUGUUGUAUUGUUGAGAAAUAGUAGCCCAAGCACAAACAUCAAAACGCUGCUCAAUAAUUUUCUUCGAAUAAACAGUUUUGGCAAGAGUGGUCUUACCUAUCCCGCCCAUUCCUGUGAUCGGGAUGACUUGGCGCUCGCGUUGGUCCGAAACGAGCAUUUCCAAGAUUCCAUUCACGACACCCUCGGACCACACCACCAUGCCACUGCUGUUCUUCCCAGUUGAAGAAGAAGCAGAGACGAAGCUAUGCCGCUUAUCUGUAUUCCUCUGCAUCGCCAAACUCUUGAUCUGAUCCAUUUCUUGUAUCACAUUUUGCACAUCUUGAAACAACUUCAUCUCUUCCUUUGGAUUUCCUUCGUCGGAAACAGGGGAGAUAUCAGCUUCUGUGGAUCUGCUCAGCUGAAUCUUGGCCACGAUAUGAGAUUCGAUGGCAUCUUCAGCUGCAUAAGCUGCAUCUGCAAUACGCAUCUCCAAGGGAUCUGCUUCGUCGGAAACAGGGGAGUCAUAAGCUUCGAGAAACUCCUGCAAGAAUGUGAUAAUUUCAGUGAGGGAUUGAACUUGGUGUUUGUUUAGAGAAAUCGGAGGGGAAUGGUGGCGCUCGAGGUCGUCUAUGAUAUGCAUUAGAGAAACCAAGGCUGCGUAGGCCGCCAUGAUCGAUAUCAGUAGAAGGGAAACAGAGUAUAAUUAUGAGAAUUUUGGACAAGAAUUUGAUAGAAUCUUAAUUUAGCUUCUUAUUUAUAAUAGGGUUAAUAUGCAAAAACACCCCUAACGUUACCACCCCAACUACACUUAAGCCCCUAACCUAACGUUGAUAGCAACUAACACCCCAGAGUUAAUUAAGUAUUACGAUUAAACCCAUAAACAAACAAUUUCUUUCACAAAUUAGAAAUUCAUUUUUUAAUCUAUAUAAUAUAUAAAAGAGACGUUUUCUCCUCCAUAUAAUAUGGUAUAAAAAUUAUUAAAAAUAAAUUUAAAACAAAUAAGUUAUUAAGAUUUUAAAAUAUUCUAUUUUCUUUCUCUUUGUUAAAAUUUUACAAUUCUUUUAUUUAUGUCUGUGUAUGAAAAUAUUUAUUUAUAUAUAAAAAAAAAUUGAUGGGAGAAGAGAGAGAAAAAAUGGUGGAAAAAAUGGAGGGAGAAACUCCCUUUAUAUAUUAUAUAAAUUUANUGAGGCUUUGGGGGAAUGUGAGCGCAUACGGAGCAGCUAUAAAAUCAUCCCGACAAUAUAUGUGGAGGGAUUCCAAUUUACACAGACGUUUGAUAUUGUUUAGACAAUAAUAAUCAUCUUGCUCGAUUCCCCCUCUCCCAAAAUAAUUUAUCCCCAAAUUUUUGAUAUUGGGAAUUCUCUUAACCACCUCUUCACUGCACUUGAAAUUUGCUAUUCCCUCAAGCACCAGUAGAUUCUCCAUGACGACGACAUCAUCACUCGAAGGUUCUGGAAGAUAAAAUCUUCCUCUAGUCAUUUCAAUAUGCCUAAGUUGUGGCAUUCUCCAAAUCUCAGCCGGUGCAGUGAACUCCUCAAAACAAGAAACAAUCAAUAUGUGCAGAUUCCAUAGGCGAGUAAACGAGGUAAAGAUUGA